Molecule: ribosomal RNA, 497 nt
Filed under: uncultured bacterium
Lineage: Bacteria
Description: partial 16S ribosomal RNA
Rfam family: Bacterial small subunit ribosomal RNA
Source: RNAcentral
GAUGAACGCUGGCGGCGUGCCUAAUACAUGCCAGUCGAGCGAACAGACGAGGAGCUUGCUCCUCUGACGUUAGCGGCGGACGGGUGAGUAACACGUGGAUAACCUACCUAUAAGACUGGGAUAACUUCGGGAAACCGGAGCUAAUACCGGAUAAUAUAUUGAACCGCAUGGUUCAAUAGUGAAAGACGGUUUUGCUGUCACUUAUAGAUGGAUCCGCGCCGCAUUAGCUAGUUGGUAAGGUAACGGCUUACCAAGGCGACGAUGCGUAGCCGACCUGAGAGGGUGAUCGGCCACACUGGAACUGAGACACGGUCCAGACUCCUACGGGAGGCAGCAGUAGGGAAUCUUCCGCAAUGGGCGAAAGCCUGACGGAGCAACGCCGCGUGAGUGAUGAAGGUCUUCGGAUCGUAAAACUCUGUUAUUAGGGAAGAACAAAUGUGUAAGUAACUAUGCACGUCUUGACGGUACCUAAUCAGAAAGCCACGGCUAACUACGUA